This 2898-nucleotide ribosomal RNA is filed under the name Streptococcus thermophilus. RNAcentral describes it as "ribosomal RNA 23s ribosomal RNA". It matches the Rfam family "Bacterial large subunit ribosomal RNA". Lineage: Bacteria; Bacillati; Bacillota; Bacilli; Lactobacillales; Streptococcaceae. The record is from RNAcentral.
UUAAGUUAAUAAGGGCGCACGGUGGAUGCCUUGGCACUAGAAGCCGAUGAAGGACGUGACUAACGACGAAAUGCUUUGGGGAGCUGUAAGUGAGCAAUGAUCCAGAGAUGUCCGAAUGGGGGAACCCGGCAGGUAAUGCCUGUCACUCAUUACUGUUAAGGUAAUGUAGAGGAAGACGCAGUGAACUGAAACAUCUAAGUAGCUGUAGGAAGAGAAAGCAAAAGCGAUUGCCUUAGUAGCGGCGAGCGAAACGGCAAGAGGGCAAACCGAAGAGUUUACUCUUCGGGGUUGUAGGACUGCAACGUGGACUUAAAGAUUAUAGAAGAACUACCUGGGAAGGUAGGCCAAAGAGAGUAAUAGCCUCGUAUUCGAAAUAGUCUUUAUACCUAGCAGUAUCCUGAGUACGGCGAGACACGAGAAAUCUCGUCGGAAUCUGGGAGGACCAUCUCCCAACCCUAAAUACUCUCUAGUGACCGAUAGUGAACCAGUACCGUGAGGGAAAGGUGAAAAGCACCCCGGGAGGGGAGUGAAAUAGAACCUGAAACCGUGUGCCUACAACAAGUUCGAGCCCGUUAAUGGGUGAGAGCGUGCCUUUUGUAGAAUGAACCGGCGAGUUACGAUAUGAUGCGAGGUUAAGUUGAAGAGACGGAGCCGUAGGGAAACCGAGUCUUAAUAGGGCGCAUUAGUAUCAUGUCGUAGACCCGAAACCAUGUGACCUACCCAUGAGCAGGUUGAAGGUGAGGUAAAACUCACUGGAGGACCGAACCAGGGCACGUUGAAAAGUGCUUGGAUGACUUGUGGGUAGCGGAGAAAUUCCAAACGAACUUGGAGAUAGCUGGUUCUCUCCGAAAUAGCUUUAGGGCUAGCGUUGAUGUUAAGUCUCUUGGAGGUAGAGCACUGUUUGGGUGAGGGGUCCAUCCCGGAUUACCAAUCUCAGAUAAACUCCGAAUGCCAAUGAGAUAUAAUCGGCAGUCAGACUGCGAGUGCUAAGAUCCGUAGUCGAAAGGGAAACAGCCCAGACCACCAGCUAAGGUCCCAAAAUAUAUGUUAAGUGGAAAAGGAUGUGGGGUUGCACAGACAACUAGGAUGUUAGCUUAGAAGCAGCUAUUCAUUCAAAGAGUGCGUAAUAGCUCACUAGUCGAGUGACCCUGCGCCGAAAAUGUACCGGGGCUAAAACAUAUUACCGAAGCUGUGGAUACCUUUAUAGGUAUGGUAGGAGAGCGUUCUAUGUGCGAAGAAGGUGUACCGUGAGGAGUGCUGGAGCGCAUAGAAGUGAGAAUGCCGGUAUGAGUAGCGAAAGACAGGUGAGAAUCCUGUCCACCGUAAGACUAAGGUUUCCAGGGGAAGGCUCGUCCGCCCUGGGUUAGUCGGGACCUAAGGAGAGACCGAAAGGUGUAUCCGAUGGACAACAGGUUGAUAUUCCUGUACUAGAGUAUAUAGUGAUGGAGGGACGCAGUAGGCUAACUAAACCAGACGAUUGGAAGUGUCUGGCCAAGCAGUGAGGUGUGAUAUGAGUCAAAUGCUUAUAUCUUUAACAUUGAGCUGUGAUGGGGAGCGAAGUUUAGUAGCGAAGUUAGUGAUGUCACACUGCCGAGAAAAGCUUCUAGCGUUAAUUAUACUCUACCCGUACCGCAAACCGACACAGGUAGUCGAGGCGAGUAGCCUCAGGUGAGCGAGAGAACUCUCGUUAAGGAACUCGGCAAAAUGGCCCCGUAACUUCGGGAGAAGGGGCGCUGACUGAUGGUCAGCCGCAGUGAAUAGGCCCAAGCAACUGUUUAUCAAAAACACAGCUCUCUGCUAAAUCGUAAGAUGAUGUAUAGGGGGUGACGCCUGCCCGGUGCUGGAAGGUUAAGAGGAGUGCUUAGCGUAAGCGAAGGCAUGAAUUGAAGCCCCAGUAAACGGCGGCCGUAACUAUAACGGUCCUAAGGUAGCGAAAUUCCUUGUCGGGUAAGUUCCGACCCGCACGAAAGGCGUAAUGAUUUGGGCACUGUCUCAACGAGAGACUCGGUGAAAUUUUAGUACCUGUGAAGAUGCAGGUUACCCGCGACAGGACGGAAAGACCCCAUGGAGCUUUACUGCAGUUUGAUAUUGAGUAUCUGUACCACAUGUACAGGAUAGGUAGGAGCCUAUGACCUCGGGACGCCAGUUUCGAGUGAGGCGUUGUUGGGAUACUACCCUUGUGUUAUGGCUACUCUAACCCAGAUAGGUUAUCCCUAUCGGAGACAGUGUCUGACGGGCAGUUUGACUGGGGCGGUCGCCUCCUAAAAGGUAACGGAGGCGCCCAAAGGUUCCCUCAGAAUGGUUGGAAAUCAUUCGCAGAGUGUAAAGGUAUAAGGGAGCUUGACUGCGAGAGCUACAACUCGAGCAGGGACGAAAGUCGGGCUUAGUGAUCCGGUGGUUCCGUAUGGAAGGGCCAUCGCUCAACGGAUAAAAGCUACCCUGGGGAUAACAGGCUUAUCUCCCCCAAGAGUUCACAUCGACGGGGAGGUUUGGCACCUCGAUGUCGGCUCGUCGCAUCCUGGGGCUGUAGUCGGUCCCAAGGGUUGGGCUGUUCGCCCAUUAAAGCGGCACGCGAGCUGGGUUCAGAACGUCGUGAGACAGUUCGGUCCCUAUCCGUCGCGGGCGUAGGAAAUUUGAGAGGAUCUGCUCCUAGUACGAGAGGACCAGAGUGGACUUACCGCUGGUGUACCAGUUGUUCUGCCAAGAGCAUCGCUGGGUAGCUAUGUAGGGAAGGGAUAAACGCUGAAAGCAUCUAAGUGUGAAGCCCACCUCAAGAUGAGAUUUCCCAUGAUUUUAUAUCAGUAAGAGCCCUGAGAGAUGAUCAGGUUGAUAGGUUAGAAGUGGAAGUGUGGUGACACAUGUAGCGGACUAAUACUAAUAGCUCGAGGACUUAUCCAA